GAGAACGUGGUGUAACGGGAUAACACGUCAGUCUACGAAACUGUUCGCGUAGCGUGGCGUAGCCAUGAAGUGAAGGUUCAAGUCCUUCCGUUCCG
This 95-nucleotide transfer RNA is filed under the name Tolypothrix bouteillei VB521301. It matches the Rfam family "tRNA". Rfam says of the family: Transfer RNA (tRNA) molecules are approximately 80 nucleotides in length. Their secondary structure includes four short double-helical elements and three loops (D, anti-codon, and T loops). The record is from Rfam by way of RNAcentral. Lineage: Bacteria; Bacillati; Cyanobacteriota; Cyanophyceae; Nostocales; Tolypothrichaceae. RNAcentral also lists the same sequence under 4 other names.